AAGAUGCUAGUUCCAGGGAUCAUUUCUCUAAUUCAUUACUAGAGAAGUUUUCUCAAUGUGUAGAGUACCAGAAACCACAGUUGGAGACUGUGUUCUCUUCUGAACAUGAAGCCAGUUCUUAGUGUUGCUUCACUGCCAUUUGCCAUUGACUAUCAUUUUUCUCCCCCGUGGGAGAGCAAGAGGAAGAGGAUGCCAUCUGAAUGGC
Molecule: small nucleolar RNA, 205 nt
Filed under: Castor canadensis (American beaver)
Lineage: Eukaryota; Metazoa; Chordata; Mammalia; Rodentia; Castoridae
Description: Small nucleolar RNA U3 (ENSCCNG00000015267.1)
Rfam family: Small nucleolar RNA U3
About the family: Small nucleolar RNAs (snoRNAs) are involved in the processing and modification of rRNA in the nucleolus. There are two main classes of snoRNAs: the box C/D class, and the box H/ACA class.
Source: Rfam by way of RNAcentral